CAUUAGAUGGCUGAAAGUAAGUAUAGGUCUCUUAAACCUCUUAAUAGUAAAUAACGAUUACUUUUAAUGA
RNAcentral lists this transfer RNA (70 nucleotides) under Dictyoptera aurora. Its description in RNAcentral is "tRNA-Lys". The record is from RNAcentral. Lineage: Eukaryota; Metazoa; Arthropoda; Insecta; Coleoptera; Lycidae.